GACGAACGCUGGCGGCGUGCUUAACACAUGCAAGUCGAACGGACGAGUGAGAUAAGUUUACUUAACUCACAAGUUAGUGGCGGACGGGUGAGUAACACGUGGAUAAUCUACCUGCAACACCGGGAUAACGCUGUGAAAACGGUGCUAAUACCGGAUACGUUCCCUUGUGCGCAUGUAUGAGGGAAGAAAGCUCAGGCGGUUGCAGAUGAGUCCGCGGCUGAUUAGCUAGUUGGUGAGGUAAAGGCUCACCAAGGCGAUGAUCAGUAGCCGGCCUGAGAGGGUGAACGGCCACACUGGGACUGAGGCACGGCCCAGACUCCUACGGGAGGCAGCAGUGGGGAAUCUUCCGCAAUGGGCGCAAGCCUGACGGAGCAACGCCGCGUGGGUGAAGAAGGCCUUCGGGUUGUAAAGCCCUGUCUUAUGGGAAGAAGUCAGUGACGGUACCAUAGGAGGAAGCCACGGCUAACUACGUGCCAGCCGCCGCGGUAACACCAGUA
This 497-nucleotide ribosomal RNA is filed under the name uncultured bacterium. Its description in RNAcentral is "bacterial SSU rRNA". It matches the Rfam family "Bacterial small subunit ribosomal RNA", at positions 28 to 532 of the family's 1533-position model. The record is from RNAcentral.